Molecule: ribosomal RNA, 482 nt
Filed under: uncultured bacterium
Lineage: Bacteria
Description: bacterial SSU rRNA
Rfam family: Bacterial small subunit ribosomal RNA
Source: RNAcentral
UUCUGGCUCAGGAUUAACGCUGGCGGCAUGCCUAAUACAUGCAAGUCGAGUGGUUAGCUUGCUAACCAUGGCGAACGGGUGAGUAACACGUAGGUAACCUGUCUUCAAGACGAGGAUAACCAUUGGAAACGAUGGAUAAUACUGGAUAGGACAAAUCCCCGCAUGAGGAGAUGUUUAAAGGAGCAAUCCACUUGAUGAGGGGCCUGCGGUGCAUUAGUUAGUUGGUGAGGUAACGGCCCACCAAGACGAUGAUGCAUAGCCGGACUGAGAGGUUGAACGGCCACAAUGGAACUGAGAACGGUCCAUACUCCUACGGGGAGGCAGCAGUAGGGAAUUUUCGGCAAUGGGCGGAAGCCUGAACCCGAGCAAUGCCGCGUGAAUGAAGAAGUAUUUCGGUAUGUAAAGUUCUUUUAUUUGGGAAGAAAAAACAAAUUGACGGUACCAAAUGAAUAAGCUCCGGCUAACUACGUGCCAGCAGCUGC